UACGGAGGAUCCAAGCGUUAUCCGGAUUCACUGGGUUUAAAGGGUGCGUAGGCGGACCAGUAAGUCAGUGGUGAAAUCUCUUUGCUUAACAAAGAAACUGCCAUUGAUACUGCUAGUCUAGAGUAUAGAUGACGUUGGCGGAAUAUGACAUGUAGUGGUGAAAUACUUAGAUAUGUCAUAGAACACCGAUUGCGAAGGCAGCUAACGAAACUAUAACUGACGCUGAGGCACGAAAGUGCGGGGAUCAAACAGG
This 253-nucleotide ribosomal RNA is filed under the name uncultured bacterium. Its description in RNAcentral is "partial 16S ribosomal RNA". It matches the Rfam family "Bacterial small subunit ribosomal RNA", at positions 524 to 776 of the family's 1533-position model. The record is from RNAcentral.